CGUGACUUCUCGCAAAGGCAGAAAGUAGUCAGAGUUUGAUCAUGGCUCAGGACGAACGCUGGCGGCGUGCUUAACACAUGCAAGUCGAACGGAAAGGCCCUGCUUUUGUGGGGUGCUCGAGUGGCGAACGGGUGAGUAACACGUGAGUAACCUGCCCUUGACUUUGGGAUAACUUCAGGAAACUGGGGCUAAUACCGGAUAGGAGCUCCUGCUGCAUGGUGGGGGUUGGAAAGUUUCGGCGGUUGGGGAUGGACUCGCGGCUUAUCAGCUUGUUGGUGGGGUAGUGGCUUACCAAGGCUUUGACGGGUAGCCGGCCUGAGAGGGUGACCGGCCACAUUGGGACUGAGAUACGGCCCAGACUCCUACGGGAGGCAGCAGUGGGGAAUAUUGCACAAUGGGCGGAAGCCUGAUGCAGCAACGCCGCGUGCGGGAUGACGGCCUUCGGGUUGUAAACCGCUUUCGCCUGUGACGAAGCGUGAGUGACGGUAAUGGGUAAAGAAGCACCGGCUAACUACGUGCCAGCAGCCGCGGUGAUACGUAGGGUGCGAGCGUUGUCCGGAUUUAUUGGGCGUAAAGGGCUCGUAGGUGGUUGAUCGCGUCGGAAGUGUAAUCUUGGGGCUUAACCCUGAGCGUGCUUUCGAUACGGGUUGACUUGAGGAAGGUAGGGGAGAAUGGAAUUCCUGGUGGAGCGGUGGAAUGCGCAGAUAUCAGGAGGAACACCAGUGGCGAAGGCGGUUCUCUGGGCCUUUCCUGACGCUGAGGAGCGAAAGCGUGGGGAGCGAACAGGCUUAGAUACCCUGGUAGUCCACGCUGUAAACGGUGGGUACUAGGUGUGGGGUCCAUUCCACGGGUUCCGUGCCGUAGCUAACGCUUUAAGUACCCCGCCUGGGGAGUACGGCCGCAAGGCUAAAACUCAAAGGAAUUGACGGGGCCCCGCACAAGCGGCGGAGCAUGCGGAUUAAUUCGAUGCAACGCGUAGAACCUUACCUGGGUUUGACAUGGAUCGGGAGCGCUCAGAGAUGGGUGUGCCUCUUUUGGGGUCGGUUCACAGGUGGUGCAUGGCUGUCGUCAGCUCGUGUCGUGAGAUGUUGGGUUAAGUCCCGCAACGAGCGCAACCCUUGUUCACUGUUGCCAGCACGUUAUGGUGGGGACUCAGUGGAGACCGCCGGGGUCAACUCGGAGGAAGGUGGGGAUGACGUCAAGUCAUCAUGCCCCUUAUGUCCAGGGCUUCACGCAUGCUACAAUGGCUGGUACAGAGAGUGGCGAGCCUGUGAGGGUGAGCGAAUCUCGGAAAGCCGGUCUCAGUUCGGAUUGGGGUCUGCAACUCGACCUCAUGAAGUCGGAGUCGCUAGUAAUCGCAGAUCAGCAACGCUGCGGUGAAUACGUUCCCGGGGCUUGUACACACCGCCCGUCAAGUCAUGAAAGUUGGUAACACCCGAAGCCGGUGGCCUAACCGUUGUGGGGGAGCCGUCGAAGGUGGGACUGGUGAUUAGGACUAAGUCGUAACAAGGUAACCGGACUACUUUCUGCCUUUGCGAGAAGUCAC
RNAcentral lists this ribosomal RNA (1546 nucleotides) under Cutibacterium sp. Its description in RNAcentral is "partial 16S ribosomal RNA". It matches the Rfam family "Bacterial small subunit ribosomal RNA". The record is from RNAcentral. Lineage: Bacteria; Bacillati; Actinomycetota; Actinomycetes; Propionibacteriales; Propionibacteriaceae.